This 464-nucleotide ribosomal RNA is filed under the name uncultured bacterium. RNAcentral's name for it is "partial 16S ribosomal RNA". It matches the Rfam family "Bacterial small subunit ribosomal RNA", at positions 28 to 507 of the family's 1533-position model. The record is from RNAcentral.
GACGAACGCUGGCGGCGUGCUUAACACAUGCAAGUCGAACGGUAAGGCCCUUUCGGGGGUACACGAGUGGCGAACGGGUGAGUAACACGUGGGUGAUCUGCCCUGCACUUUGGGAUAAGCCUGGGAAACUGGGUCUAAUACCGGAUAGGACUACGCGAUGCAUGUCGUGUGGUGGAAAGCUUUUGCGGUGUGGGAUGGGCCCGCGGCCUAUCAGCUUGUUGGUGGGGUGAUGGCCUACCAAGGCGACGACGGGUAGCCGGCCUGCGAGGGUGUCCGGCCACACUGGGACUGAGAUACGGCCCAGACUCCUACGGGAGGCAGCAGUGGGGAAUAUUGCACAAUGGGCGCAAGCCUGAUGCAGCGACGCCGCGUGGGGGAUGACGGCCUUCGGGUUGUAAACCCCUUUCAGCACAGACGAAGCGUAAGUGACGGUAUGUGCAGAAGAAGCACCGGCCAACUACGUG